CUAAUUUUUGUAAAUACUUUAAUAGCUUUGAAUAAUGAUCCAUUUGUUCCACCGUUUCAUCUUCCUUACAUUCUCGCUUCUUUCCAACAUGCCAAAAAAGAAGGCAACAGGUAAUUAGGUACAUCGACUAUGAAAAUUAAUUCUCAAGUAUCUAUGGAGUAAAAUAUUACUAUGAGCUGCAAAAUACAAUCUUCCAUGUAUACAUACAAAUACAACAUUCAACAUUUAUAUGGAUUUUUCUGGGAUCUUCUGUGCUCUCACCAGAAACAAUCUGAGUUGUACCCCGGUUACUGCUGGAUAGAAUGCAAAAGCACAAAAGUAUUGAGAAGCAGAAAUGAUAUUUGUGCAAGAAGAAAUUUCAAAUGAAUUGAAUUUUGAAAAAGUUUGGGAUGAAUUGUCAUGCAAUAACGAUAUCGUCUGGCAUAAAUAGGUUGGUAAAUUAUAAUUGGAGGAAAAUAUUAUAUAACGAGUCUGCAUGCACUGCAUGUCUCGUCGUACCUGAACUGGUGAAGUGUUCAUUAAAACGAAUGGACCAAACGAAAAGGAGAAAAGGGUUUUUUUUUUAUUAACAUUAUAUUGUGAUAUUUUAUGUGCUUCCGGUGUAAGAACAUUUGUUUCACGAUUAGAUGGUUUUCUUGUUUGAUCUUUUUUUCCGGUAUAAGUAACACUUAUAGGCAGUCACAUUAUGCCCGCGUGCGUGCUUUAGUGAAGAGAAGUGAUCAAGAGAAGAGAAGAGAAGAGGAGAAGA
Cephus cinctus (wheat stem sawfly) is the source of this 748-nucleotide long non-coding RNA. RefSeq lists it as uncharacterized. The transcript is spliced from 3 exons. NCBI's taxonomy places the organism in Eukaryota, Metazoa, Arthropoda, Insecta, Hymenoptera, Cephidae. The record is from RefSeq and is a predicted model, not a curated record.